This 1372-nucleotide ribosomal RNA is filed under the name uncultured bacterium. Its description in RNAcentral is "bacterial SSU rRNA". It matches the Rfam family "Bacterial small subunit ribosomal RNA", at positions 28 to 1381 of the family's 1533-position model. The record is from RNAcentral.
GAUGAACGCGGGCGGCGUGCCUAAUACAUGCAAGUCGAGCGAACGGACGAGAAGCUUGCUUCUCUGAUGUUAGCGGCGGACGGGUGAGUAACACGUGGAUAACCUACCUAUAAGACUGGGAUAACUUCGGGAAACCGGAGCUAAUACCGGAUAAUAUUUUGAACCGCAUGGUUCAAAAGUGAAAGACGGUCUUGCUGUCACUUAUAGAUGGAUCCGCGCUGCAUUAGCUAGUUGGUAAGGUAACGGCUUACCAAGGCAACGAUGCAUAGCCGACCUGAGAGGGUGACCGGCCACACUGGAACUGAGACACGGUCCAGACUCCUACGGGAGGCAGCAGUAGGGAAUCUUCCGCAAUGGGCGAAAGCCUGACGGAGCAACGCCGCGUGAGUGAUGAAGGUCUUCGGAUCGUAAAACUCUGUUAUUAGGGAAGAACAUAUGUGUAAGUAACUGUGCACAUCUUGACGGUACCUAAUCAGAAAGCCACGGCUAACUACGUGCCAGCAGCCGCGGUAAUACGUAGGUGGCAAGCGUUAUCCGGAAUUAUUGGGCGUAAAGCGCGCGUAGGCGGUUUCUUAAGUCUGAUGUGAAAGCCCACGGCUCAACCGUGGAGGGUCAUUGGAAACUGGAAAACUUGAGUGCAGAAGAGGAAAGUGGAAUUCCAUGUGUAGCGGUGAAAUGCGCAGAGAUGUGGAGGAACACCAGUGGCGAAGGCGACUUUCUGGUCUGUAACUGACGCUGAUGUGCGAAAGCGUGGGGAUCAAACAGGAUUAGAUACCCUGGUAGUCCACGCCGUAAACGAUGAGUGCUAAGUGUUAGGGGGUUUCCGCCCCUUAGUGCUGCAGCUAACGCAUUAAGCACUCCGCCUGGGGAGUACGACCGCAAGGUUGAAACUCAAAGGAAUUGACGGGGACCCGCACAAGCGGUGGAGCAUGUGGUUUAAUUCGAAGCAACGCGAAGAACCUUACCAAAUCUUGACAUCCUUUGACAACUCUAGAGAUAGAGCCUUCCCCUUCGGGGGACAAAGUGACAGGUGGUGCAUGGUUGUCGUCAGCUCGUGUCGUGAGAUGUUGGGUUAAGUCCCGCAACGAGCGCAACCCUUAAGCUUAGUUGCCAUCAUUAAGUUGGGCACUCUAAGUUGACUGCCGGUGACAAACCGGAGGAAGGUGGGGAUGACGUCAAAUCAUCAUGCCCCUUAUGGUUUGGGCUACACACGUGCUACAAUGGACAAUACAAAGGGCAGCGAAACCGCGAGGUCAAGCAAAUCCCAUAAAGUUGUUCUCAGUUCGGAUUGUAGUCUGCAACUCGACUACAUGAAGCUGGAAUCGCUAGUAAUCGUAGAUCAGCAUGCUACGGUGAAUACGUUCCCGGGUCU